Molecule: long non-coding RNA, 491 nt
Filed under: Rhinopithecus bieti (black snub-nosed monkey)
Lineage: Eukaryota; Metazoa; Chordata; Mammalia; Primates; Cercopithecidae
Description: lncRNA (ENSRBIG00000045208.1)
Source: RNAcentral
GCAGAAUGAACAACAGCAAGGAGUCUAUCAGCAGGCUAUAUACCCUUGUAUCCAGACAGGCAGCACCAGGGAAGACUUUUAGCAGGAAUAGCAUUCUUUGAACACCACUUUGCAAGAUGUUGCUAAAAGAAGAAAUCAAGAAUUACAAUUUCAUCAUAAUCACUAUCUUCAACAAGUCUUCUAGAUACAUAAGAGAUGUCCUUUUCAGUAAAUGGCCUCUUGAAAAUUGCUCUGUGAACAUCUAAAGCCUGUGAUUGGAGCUCUUCAAAUGACCAGAAGUCACUACUCAAAAACUUCCUUACCACACAAUUACUGGAUCAUGUGCUUCUCUUGUGCUUCUGUGCUACUCCAGCAUAAUCCAACUUUUGUUUGGGAGAAAACAGAUGUUGUUUGUGUCAGCAACAAUCAAAUCACUAUCUUUUAUGCUCCUCAUUAAAACAAAAGACAAUAAACUUUGUCUUAAAGGUAUAAACCAUAGAGGCAAAAAAAUG